This 489-nucleotide ribosomal RNA is filed under the name uncultured bacterium. Its description in RNAcentral is "partial 16S ribosomal RNA". It matches the Rfam family "Bacterial small subunit ribosomal RNA", at positions 29 to 506 of the family's 1533-position model. The record is from RNAcentral.
AUUGAACGCUGGCGGCAGGCCUAACACAUGCAAGUCGAACGGUAACAGGGAUCAGCUUGCUGAUUCGCUGACGAGUGGCGGACGGGUGAGUAAUGUCUGGGAAACUGCCUGAUGGAGGGGGAUAACUACUGGAAACGGUAGCUAAUACCGCAUAACGUCGCAAGACCAAAGAGGGGGACCUUCGGGCCUCUUGCCAUCGGAUGUGCCCAGAUGGGAUUAGCUAGUAGGUGGGGUAACGGCUCACCUAGGCGACGAUCCCUAGCUGGUCUGAGAGGAUGACCGGCCACACUGGAACUGGACAACGGGCCAGCCUCCUAGGGGAGGCAGCAGGGGGGAAUAUUGCACAAUGGGCGGAAGCUUGAUGGAGCCAUGCCGGGGGUAUGAAGAAGGCCUGCGGGUUGUAAAGUACUUUCAGGGGGGGGGAAGGGAGUAAAGUUAAAACCUGUGCUCAUGGACGUUACCCGCAAAAGAAGCACCGGCUAACUCCGG